AGGACGAACGCUUGCGACGUGCCUAAGAAAUGCAAGUCGAACGGACAGUAGCAAUACUGUUAGUGGCGAACGGUCGCGUAACACGUGGGCAACCUGCCCUGAAGCGGGGGACAACAACUCGAAAGAGUUGCUAAUACCGCAUGUGGAUCGCUCUGGCAUCAGAGAUUAUCCAAGGCCUUCGGGCACUUCAGGAUGGGCCCGCGGCCUAUCAGCUUGUUGGUGAGGUAACGGCCCACCAAGGCUUCGACGGGUAACUGGUCUGAGAGGACGAUCAGCCGGAUUGGGACUGAGAUACGGCCCAAACUCCUACGGAGGCAGCAGUGGGGAAUAUUGGACAAUGGGCGCAAGCCUGAUCCAGCCAUGCCGCGUGAGUGAUGAAGGCCCUAGGGUUGUAAAGCUCUUUUGUGCGGGAAGAUAAUGACGGUACCGCAAGAAUAAGCCCGGCUAACUUCGUGCCAGCAGCCGC
This 466-nucleotide ribosomal RNA is filed under the name uncultured bacterium. RNAcentral describes it as "SSU rRNA". It matches the Rfam family "Bacterial small subunit ribosomal RNA", at positions 26 to 518 of the family's 1533-position model. The record is from RNAcentral.